RNAcentral lists this ribosomal RNA (451 nucleotides) under uncultured bacterium. RNAcentral's name for it is "bacterial SSU rRNA". It matches the Rfam family "Bacterial small subunit ribosomal RNA", at positions 61 to 525 of the family's 1533-position model. The record is from RNAcentral.
GUCGAACGGACUUGAGAGGGCUUGCUCUCUUAAGUUAGUGGCGGACGGGUGAGUAACACGUGAGCAACCUGCCUUUAAGAGUGGGAUAACGGUCGGAAACGACCGCUAAUACCGCAUAACAUACACGAACCGCAUGGUUUGUGUAUCAAAGAUUUAUCGCUUAAAGAUGGGCUCGCGUCUGAUUAGCUUGUUGGUGAGGUAACGGCUCACCAAGGCGACGAUCAGUAGCCGUACUGAGAGGUUGGCCGGCCACAUUGGGACUGAGAUACGGCCCAGACUCCUACGGGAGGCAGCAGUGGGGAAUAUUGGGCAAUGGGCGCAAGCCUGACCCAGCAACGCCGCGUGAAGGAAGAAGGCUUUCGGGUUGUAAACUUCUUUUAAGGGGGAAGAGCAGAAGACGGUACCCCUUGAAUAAGCCACGGCUAACUACGUGCCAGCAGCCGCGGUAAUA